This 132-nucleotide long non-coding RNA is filed under the name Polistes fuscatus (common paper wasp). RNAcentral describes it as "uncharacterized LOC122524785". Lineage: Eukaryota; Metazoa; Arthropoda; Insecta; Hymenoptera; Vespidae. The record is from RNAcentral.
GCCUCGUACCAGAGAUGCCAUGUGAAUCAUUUGGAAAAUAGAAUGCAGCAGCCGUGUACAGGAUCUUUUAAAUGACAAACAAAAUUAUCAUGUGUUCAAUCAAUGUACUGGAAAAUAGAGCGUAUGAUUUUU